AAGAGAGAAGGGCGGCUUGGAAGGAGGAAGCAGGAGACAGGAGCAGGCAGAGAGCACUGUGUGGAGUAAUGGAAAUCGCUUGGGGUCUCCACCCUGCAUCUGGGACAAGUCAUUAUUAAGAAACACUCACCUGGCCCAAGGAAGAACAGCGGGUGGCACCUUGUGUUAUUAGCAGAGACACUAACUCUCUGCCCCCCUGAGACCAGCACCACGCCCUCUGCUGCUGCUUCGGUAAAUAAGCCCCGACUCAGUGGCUUAAAUGACAGACAUGUUUUCCAGCCAGGCCCAGGACCAAGCUCCAGGAACUCUGCUUGGGACCUGCCCACAGCUUCCAGAGUCCAAACUUCAGGCCUUUCUGCCCUUGGUUCCUCAGACAUCUUUAGGUACAACAUCAGGAAUGAGCAUCUUUCUUCUGGAGCUGGAAGCUGUGGGAGAGUGUUUGGCUGAAGGGGCUGGGAUGCAUGCUUCUGAAGAAGGACCCUGGCUGUGUCUGAACAGAUUGGGACUCGAGAGCUGGAGGAUGGGGACUGGAGAGAUACCUCAGAGGAAAAAUGUAGUGCGGCCCUUACCGAAGUCUGAGUUGAUGGUGGAAUAGCCAACGAUCUUGGAGACCAUUAGGCUCUGCCUUCGGGGAGUCUUAUAAGCCACCCCAGACACAAGCCUCCGCGUUCAUACUUGCUAAUAGAUGCAUCAAACACUCAGUCCACUGCAUACUUUUGUGUCAAAGACUGGGGUCCACUCACUAACCCUCCCUUUCCAACAUUGCUAUUUUGUUUAGGAAAAAAAAUUCUUUAUUUGGACAAACAGUCUAGACUGAAGU
RNAcentral lists this long non-coding RNA (820 nucleotides) under Mus musculus (house mouse). RNAcentral's name for it is "predicted gene 12298 (Gm12298)". Lineage: Eukaryota; Metazoa; Chordata; Mammalia; Rodentia; Muridae. The record is from RNAcentral.